CCUGCCAGUAGCCAUAUGCUUGUCUAGAAGAUUAAGCCAUGCAUGUGUAAGUAUUAAUAGAUUUUAAUAGUGAAACUGCGAAUGGCUCAAUUAAAACAGUUAUAGUUUAUUCGAUGAUGUUUUGUUAUUUGGAUAACCGUAGUAAUUCUAGGGCUAAUACAUGAACUAAAGAGGAGCAACUUAGAAGUGUUUCUCUGUAUUUAUUAGACUGAAAACUGGUACAGUAGCAAUACUGGCCCCUGGUUGAACCAUAAUAACUCUAUUACGAAUCGUAUGACCUCUGCGUCGACGAUGAAUCGUUCAAGUUUCUGACCUAUCAAUUCAAGAAGGUAGUGUAUUGGACCACCUUGAUUGUAACGGGUACGGAGAAUUAGGGUUCGAUUCCGGAGAGGGAGCCUGAGAAACGGCUACCACUUCCAAGGAAGGCAGCAGGCGCGCAAAUUACCCAAUCUCAACACGAG
RNAcentral lists this ribosomal RNA (461 nucleotides) under uncultured eukaryote. RNAcentral describes it as "bacterial SSU rRNA". It matches the Rfam family "Eukaryotic small subunit ribosomal RNA", at positions 13 to 460 of the family's 1831-position model. The record is from RNAcentral.